Molecule: ribosomal RNA, 253 nt
Filed under: uncultured bacterium
Lineage: Bacteria
Description: partial 16S ribosomal RNA
Rfam family: Bacterial small subunit ribosomal RNA
Source: RNAcentral
UACAGAGGUCUCAAGCGUUGUUCGGAUUCAUUGGGCGUAAAGGGUGCGUAGGUGGUGCUGUAAGUCAGGUGUGAAAUCUCGGGGCUCAACCCCGAAACUGCACUUGAUACUGCGGUGCUUGAGGACUGGAGAGGAGAUCGGAAUUCAUGGUGUAGCAGUGAAAUGCGUAGAUAUCAUGAGGAAGACCAGUGGCGAAGGCGGAUCUCUGGACAGUUCCUGACACUGAGGCACGAAGGCCAGGGGAGCAAACGGG